This 498-nucleotide ribosomal RNA is filed under the name uncultured bacterium. RNAcentral describes it as "partial 16S ribosomal RNA". It matches the Rfam family "Bacterial small subunit ribosomal RNA", at positions 30 to 523 of the family's 1533-position model. The record is from RNAcentral.
AUUGAACGCUGGCGGCAUGCCUUACACAUGCAAGUCGAACGGUAACAGGUCUUCGGAUGCUGACGAGUGGCGAACGGGUGAGUAAUACAUCGGAACGUGCCCGAUCGUGGGGGAUAACGAAGCGAAAGCUUUGCUAAUACCGCAUAAGAUCUACGGAUGAAAGCAGGGGACCGCAAGGCCUUGCGCGAACGGAGCGGCCGAUGGCAGAUUAGGUAGGUGGUGGGAUAAAAGCUUACCAAGCCGACGAUCUGUAGCUGGUCUGAGAGGACGACCAGCCACACUGGGACUGAGACACGGCCCAGACUCCUACGGGAGGCAGCAGUGGGGAAUUUUGGACAAUGGGCGAAAGCCUGAUCCAGCCAUGCCGCGUGCAGGAUGAAGGCCUUCGGGUUGUAAACUGCUUUUGUACGGAACGAAAAGACUCUUUCUAAUAAAGAGGGUCCAUGACGGUACCGUAAGAAUAAGCACCGGCUAACUACGUGCCAGCCGCCGCGGUAA